CGGAGGAGCUAGCGUUAAGUCGGAAUUACUGGGGCGUAAAGCGCACGUAGGCGGCUUUGUAAGUAAGAGGUGAAAGCCCAGAGCUCAACUCUGGAAUUGCCUUUAGACUGCAUCGCUUGAAUCAUGGAGAGGUCAGUGGAAUUCCGAGUGUAGAGGUGAAAUUCGUAGAUAUUCGGAAGAACACCAGUGGCGAAGGCGGCUGACUGGACAUGUAUUGACGCUGAGGUGCGAAAGCGUGGGGAGCAAACAGGAUU
RNAcentral lists this ribosomal RNA (254 nucleotides) under uncultured bacterium. RNAcentral's name for it is "partial 16S ribosomal RNA". It matches the Rfam family "Bacterial small subunit ribosomal RNA", at positions 527 to 779 of the family's 1533-position model. The record is from RNAcentral.